GAGAAGCCCGAGGCUUUUAUGCCUUGAAGUUUCUACGAAUCAACUCAUGUUUUUUAUACCAAACAUGGCGCCUUUCGAGUGUUUUGUGUAGAUCGAGUGUUGAGCCAACGAUUUUAAGAUCAUCUCCAGAGAGCUGCCGCCAUCUCCAAACCCGUUUUGGCUUUGCCGUCCUAGUCCAGUAUGAGGGAGAUUGAGGCAUUGUGGGAGGAAGCUAGGGAGCUGAGUCUGGGGACCUCCGGGGGAGUAGAGAGGCUAGACUCUCCCCCAACCCCUCUCCAAUUCCUCAGAGACUUCGUGUCCCCUAACAAGCCCUGUGUUAUCUCCAACGCCACUCUUCACUGGCCCGCGCUCUCCGCCUGGUCCCACGAUUCCUACCUCACUCGAGCCCUCUCCUCUGCUCAUGUCUCCCUCCACCUUACCCCCAAUGGCCGAGCCGACGCUGCCGUCCCCAUAAAUUCCGAUGACCCAUCUACCCUCUGCUUCGCCUCCGCACACGCCCUGCGCAUGCCCUUCCCGGAAGCUCUUAAUCUCAUCGUCAAUCCCCAUUCCACCAAUUUCGUGGCGUAUGCCCAGCAGCAGAACGACUGCUUCCGGUCCGAGUACUCGGCGCUGGCUCAGGACUGCGACGCUCACAUCCCUUGGGCCACCGACGCCCUCGGAUGCCUCCCCGAAGCUGUUAAUCUUUGGGUUGGCAACCAUCUCUCCGAGACCUCUUUCCACAAGGACCACUACGAGAAUCUCUACGCCGUCGUUUCCGGUGAGAAACAUUUCCUGCUGCUUCCUCCCACCGAUGUUCAUCGUAUGUACAUCCGCAACUACCCUGCCGCGCGUUAUAUUUAUUCCCAGGACACCGGAAAGUUUACAUUAGAGCCUGAGAAGCCAAUGAGAUGUGUGCCUUGGUGCAGUGUGGAUCCGUAUCCUUCUUCGAAGGCUAAACAUAGUGCGAUGUCCAGAUUCCCCUUGUAUUUCAACGGCCCAAAACCCUUUGAGUGUACGAUCAAGGCUGGAGAGAUUCUUUACUUGCCAAGUAUGUGGUUUCAUCAUGUUAGACAGAGUCCAGAUGCUGCAGGGCGGACUAUUGCAAUAAACUACUGGUAUGAUAUGCAGUUUGAUAUCAAGUACGCCUAUUUCAACUUCUUGCAAUCAGUUCCUUACCAAUCUACCCAUAAUCCAAUAUUGCCUGGAACAAUGUCUGAUGACUUGGAUUUGGAUUCAGACUGUGAUUCAUUUGCAUAUGGCUUUAAGGAUAAAUUAGGUGUUGAUGAAUCUGUGACAAAUUUACUCAAUGCCAGUGCUAAAGAAGAAUGAGGUCUGAUUUGUUAGUUUGGGUGCUAGAAUGUUGACGUGUGAUCCUCCCGGAAUGGAGAGAGAGAUCCUAGAAAGAAGAGAUUGCGGAGUUUUUGAAGCAAGAGAAAGCAUGCUAAUCUGAGUAAGAUGUUCUUUUGACCAGAGCUUGCAUACUGGACUAGUCAUUAACAUGCAUCAAGAUGAUGGCUCACUCACCAUGGAUUUCCUCUCCUGGAUUUUCAUGUUUUACCAUCCUUAUGAUGCAUAGCCGCAUCAAACAAGCAUGGAGUUUGUUGCCCUGUUUAGCUUUCCUAGAAACAGGUGGAGCUUGCGUGCGUGUUCUGUUCUUAUGAAAUCAUAUUGGGUGUUAAUUGGAAGAAAUUCAAUAGGUAAAAGAACGGCUUCAGAGCAUAAUAUAUGUAAAUAUUUUUUCGUCUCUAUAAAGUUGUUCGUUUUCCAGAAAAAACAAAUCAUAACAUGUUAGAUGGUUUG
This is an RNA transcript of Juglans microcarpa x Juglans regia, 1779 nucleotides long. It is a transcript of the gene named bifunctional peptidase and (3S)-lysyl hydroxylase JMJD7, with no coding region annotated. The transcript is spliced from 5 exons. The record is from RefSeq and is a predicted model, not a curated record. Lineage: Eukaryota; Viridiplantae; Streptophyta; Magnoliopsida; Fagales; Juglandaceae.